CGUAGGGUGCGAGCGCUAAUCGGAAUUACUGGGCGUAAAGCGUGCGCAGGCGGUUUAGUAAGACAGGCGUGAAAUCCCCGGGCUCAACCUGGGAACUGCGCUUGUGACUGCUAAGCUAGAGUACGGCAGAGGGGGGUGGAAUUCCACGUGUAGCAGUGAAAUGCGUAGAGAUGUGGAGGAACACCAAUGGCGAAGGCAGCCCCCUGGGUCGAUACUGACGCUCAUGCACGAAAGCGUGGGUAGCAAACAGGAUUAGAUACCCUGGUAGUCCACGCCCUAAACGAUGUCAACUAGGUGUUGGGAGGGUAAAACCUUUUAGUACCGGAGCUAACGCGUGAAGUUGACCGCCUGGGGAGUACGGCCGCAAGGUUA
RNAcentral lists this ribosomal RNA (372 nucleotides) under uncultured organism. Its description in RNAcentral is "bacterial SSU rRNA". It matches the Rfam family "Bacterial small subunit ribosomal RNA", at positions 526 to 896 of the family's 1533-position model. The record is from RNAcentral.